This 303-nucleotide ribosomal RNA is filed under the name Triticum aestivum (bread wheat). RNAcentral describes it as "partial small subunit ribosomal RNA". The record is from RNAcentral. Lineage: Eukaryota; Viridiplantae; Streptophyta; Magnoliopsida; Poales; Poaceae.
AUGCUGGUCCCGGCGCCUUACAAGGUGCCGAAGAAGACGGCCGAGAAGGAGGCCAAAAAGACCCGGGGCGGCCUUCAUCGCCGUGGCACUUCGGACACGAUAUCCGAAGGCUCUGAUGCCCGUUCUGCCUUUGAAGAGGAGGAGGAGGAAGAUGAAUCCCCUGCGGGGGGAAGAAAGAAGAGGACGGCCUCCGUACACUUGGAGGUCGAGCCGCCCAAAAGGGGAAAGGCUCCUCUUCCGGAGGAGUCCACUGGCGCCGCCGACAGCGGCCCGGCGUGGGAUCCCAGGGCCCAGCCCCUGUGA